This 777-nucleotide ribosomal RNA is filed under the name uncultured Neocallimastigales. Its description in RNAcentral is "partial large subunit ribosomal RNA". It matches the Rfam family "Eukaryotic large subunit ribosomal RNA", at positions 20 to 635 of the family's 3401-position model. The record is from RNAcentral. Lineage: Eukaryota; Fungi; Neocallimastigomycota; Neocallimastigomycetes; Neocallimastigales.
UACUAGAGUAGCACUCGCAUAUCAAUAAGCGGAGGAAAAGAAACUAACAAGGAUUCCCCUAGUAACGGCGAGUGAAGCGGGAAGAGCUCAAAUUUGAAAUCUUAAAGGGUUUCCCUUUACGAAUUGUAGUUUAAAGAAGUGUUUUCUGUUGAGGUUUUGGUAAAAGUUCUUUGGAAUAGGACAGUCAUAGAGGGUGAGAAUCCCGUAUUUGACCCUUACUUUCAACUUUGUGAUACACUUUCAAAGAGUCGGAUUGUUUGGGAAUGCAGUCCAAAAUGGGUGGUAAAUUUCAUCUAAAGCUAAAUAUUGGCGAGAGACCGAUAGCGAACAAGUACCGUGAGGGAAAGAUGAAAAGAACUUUGAAAAGAGAGUUAAACAGUACGUGAAAUUGUCAAAAGGGAAGCGUUUGACACCAGUGUUGUUUUUCUGAAAAUCAAUUAAAGAACUGUUUAUCGCUAAGCUGUUUAGACUUUAUCAGCUAUCUGUUUAGUUUUGAGCUUUUCUUUAAUGCACUUUUCAGUUAACAAGUCAACAUCAAUCUCUUUUGCUGUAAGAAAAGCUUGAGGAAGGUGGCUUGAGAUUCGUCUUAAGUGUUUAUAGCCUCUUGCCUAUGCAGUCGGAGAGAUUGAGGUCUGCAGCGUAGAUCCUUCGGGGCUAAAUGCAUUUGUGCUAAGUUAUAGCAUUUCAUAGACAACUUGUUGACUAUGAUUUGUCUUGUAGCUUACUCGCUUAUGUUAUUUUACCUACGCUUAGGAUGUUGAUCUACAGAGCGAGAGU